UACGUAGGGUGCGAGCGUUAAUCGGAAUUACUGGGCGUAAAGGGCGCGUAGGCGGCCCGCUAAGUCGAACGUGAAAUCCCCAGGCUCAACCUGGGAACUGCGUCCGAUACUGGCAGGCUUGAAUCCGGGAGAGGAUGUGGGAAUUCCUGGUGUAGCGGUGAAAUGCGUAGAUAUCAGGAGGAACACCGGUGGCGAAGGCGCACAUCUGGCCCGAUACUGACGCUGAGGCGCGAAAGCUAGGGGAGCAAACGGG
RNAcentral lists this ribosomal RNA (253 nucleotides) under uncultured bacterium. Its description in RNAcentral is "partial 16S ribosomal RNA". It matches the Rfam family "Bacterial small subunit ribosomal RNA", at positions 524 to 776 of the family's 1533-position model. The record is from RNAcentral.